UCUGGAGGUUUGGCAAAUGAGUCAAAGGCCGAGGCAGCACCUACAGCUGGGGGAAGAGAGGGAGAGGAGAUGGAUUGGCAAAAAGAGCAGGUGCUGGUCUAACCCCUUUCCAGAGAAGCUACCCUCGUAACACAUACAGUAUCUGCUGCCCCCUUGGCUCUGCCUGGAAGUCCUCCAGCCCCUCACUCACAUGCUCUGGCCCUCUUCUUACCAGGAGCUGGGCCCUUCAGACAUUCUCCAUAGCCCUCACUAUGAAAGCCCGUCCCACAGGCGGUGGAGGCUCAAGGUGAUACCUAUUCAUGAUCCCUCACCUCGACAUAGUGCUUUACAGUUUAUAAUGUUUCUUCAUCCACAGAGUACCUGAUUUUCAUAACAACCCUGUGAGGUAGGUAGGGCAGGUGAUGUGCCCAUUUUAUGGAUGAGCCAGCCAGCGCACAGAGGGUGGAAUGGGUUUGCCUGAAGUCACAGAGCGGGGAUAGAAUCCAGGCCAGCAGAAAGGGGCAGGAAGGCCAAAGGCAGAUGUUUUUCAACCAGCCUACCUCCCUAGGUCAGUGUCCAAGAGAAAUUGGCCACAGUGAACAUGGGCGGAAAGGAGACCGCAGCAUCCGGGCAUGACAUGGACAGCUUUGGAGGGCAGCCUUGCACUCAGCAGCUGCUCACUCCCCAUGUGGAGAAAAUAUGUCCAUGAGCCCGCGGUGUUUUCAGCACCAUGUGCCUGGGCCCUCCUUAGUCUUGAUCGACCGUAUCACAUAAUCCUAACAUAUCAGAGCUGGAACUAUCCAAUAAGCACACUGUGCAGAAGGGGAAACUGAGGCCAUGACAGUGACAUGCCCCAAGUCAUAGAGUAAGUGGCAGCAAAUUCAGAACCCAAAUCCAGGGGUCUCUGAUCAGGAUCCCUGUGCAUCCCACUUUGCUGUUAACUCAGUCAUCAGCCCGUGCAGGGUGGGACUAGGGCUGCUACACCCUCACACCUAUUUCAUCUAAUAAACAUGUCAGUGCUUACUAUAUGCCAAGCACUACUCUGCUCUCUCUUUACAAAUACUCAGUCCAUGUCUCAGGCCCUGUCCAUCCCACGCACCCCAGCCCACU
Long non-coding RNA from Cercocebus atys (sooty mangabey), 1089 nucleotides. RefSeq lists it as uncharacterized. NCBI's taxonomy places the organism in Eukaryota, Metazoa, Chordata, Mammalia, Primates, Cercopithecidae. The transcript is spliced from 3 exons. The record is from RefSeq and is a predicted model, not a curated record.